UAGCUAGUUUUUUUAGCUAUUCGAAUUUUGUAUUUAAUGGAUGAAAUAAAAAAUCCUAUAUUAACAUGUAAAGUAUUAGGCCAUCAGUGAUUUUGAAGCUACGAAUAUAGAGAUUUUAGUGGUUUUGAGUUUGACUCAUAUAUAGUUUUUAAUUUGAUGCGGUUGCUAGAAGUUGACCAGAAGCCAGUCAGAAGUUCGGUCUUUGGGCGUACUUGUCUGGGAAGUCCUUACCUUAGGCCAGCGACCAUAUCCAGCCAGAUCAAACUUAGAAGUCCGUAAUUUUGUUAGGAAUGGCGGCCGGCUGAGUAAACCAUGCAAUGCCACAGAACAAUUGUAUGAACUUAUGAAGCGUUGUUGGAGCUUUUUACCAUCAGAUCGACCAUCAUUCCGUUUCUUUCGAGAAACUUUGGAGUCCAUUAUAAGGAAACUUAUAUGACGCGGGAGAGGCUGCGGGCGCGGGGAAGCGGGGAAGGCACCGGUCGCGGAACGCAGACCGAGGAGCGACAAUUCGGGAUAUGAGCUGCUAGUUUUCACGGCGGUGACGGCGUGGACAUUCCGCCCCCCAUAAUGCCUCGUAGAGGGAUUAUAGAAUGAAAAUAAUGGAGGCAACAAAGGUUAUUUAGAAGGUACAAAAACAGUCAUGUAUUGAUACAGAGUUUAGGAGAGAACAUAUACAUGAAGAUACAUUUCAUAUUACAAUAGCGAUACAUGAAGAUAAUGAUAGAAAAGCUACAUUCUGGAGCUGCUGUCCUCGUGUUCCCUUGCCCUGCUACGGGAGCGGGCGAUCAGGUGCUCUAGUUGGCGCCUUACCCAGGCGGGGAGGAGAGACAUAUAAACAUAUACAUUGAAAAAAGUCAUCAUAUCACCAAGAAUAAAUAAUAUUUUAUUCAUACAAUGUAAUAUAACAAUAUAAGAACAAGAUUGAUUGAAGAUUAUUGACAUUUCCGUCUCUGAAGACUAGUGAGGACUUGUAACUCAAGCCACGAAUACCCUUACGGCGUCGAUCACCGGCUCUCUGCACGUCGGGCAUCGCUGGUCCUGCAUCGGUGGGACCUGCCUGAUCAGCACUUCGUUGCACGGUUCACAAACCGCGAAGUGCCGGCAAGGGAGGAACAUAAUCUCCCUUUCCCUGUCCAGGCAUACGAUACAUCCUAAAAGAAUAAGAAAUAAAAUGAAAAAAAAAA
Bemisia tabaci is the source of this 1184-nucleotide non-coding RNA. The record is from RefSeq and is a predicted model, not a curated record. Lineage: Eukaryota; Metazoa; Arthropoda; Insecta; Hemiptera; Aleyrodidae.